Molecule: ribosomal RNA, 385 nt
Filed under: uncultured bacterium
Lineage: Bacteria
Description: bacterial SSU rRNA
Rfam family: Bacterial small subunit ribosomal RNA
Source: RNAcentral
UGAGGAAUAUUGCGCAAUGGAGGAAACUCUGACGCAGCCAUGCCGCGUGAGUGAAGAAGGCCCUAGGGUUGUAAAGCUCUUUCAGAUGCGAAUAUAAUGAAGGUAACAUCAGAAGAAGCUCCGGCUAAAUUCGUGCCAGCAGCCGCGGUAAUACGAAUGGAGCGAGCGUUGUUCGGAAUCAUUGGGCGUAAAGCGUAUGUAGGCGGAAUAGAAAGUCAGAAGUGAAAUCCCGGGGCUCAACCCCGGAAUUGCUUUUGAAACUCCUAUUCUCGAGUCCCGGAGGGGUUGACGGAAUUCCUAGUGUAGAGGUGAAAUUCGCAGAUAUUAGGAGGAACACCAGUGGCGUAGGCGGUCAACUGGACGGGUACUGACGCUGAGAUACGAA